CCUACGGGUGGCAGCAGUGAGGAAUAUUGGUCAAUGGACGAGAGGCUGAACCAGCCAAGUCGCGUGAGGGAAGACGGCCCUACGGGUUGUAAACCUCUUUUGUCGGGGAGCAAAGCGAGCCACGUGUGACUCAUUGAGUGUACCCGAAGAAAAAGCAUCGGCUAACUCCGUGCCAGCAGCCGCGGUAAUACGGAGGAUGCGAGCGUUAUCCGGAUUUAUUGGGUUUAAAGGGUGCGCAGGGGGAGGUGCAAGUCAGCGGUCAAAUUGCGGGGCUCACCCCCGUACUGCCGUUGAAACUGCAUGCCUUGAGUGCACGAGAGGUAUGCGGAAUGCGUGGUGUAGCGGUGAAAUGCAUAGAUAUCACGAAGAACUCCGAUUGCGAAGGCAGCAUACCGGCGCGCAACUGACGCUCAUGCACGAAAGCGUGGGUAUCGAACAGGAUUAGAUACCCGUGUAGUC
Molecule: ribosomal RNA, 459 nt
Filed under: uncultured bacterium
Lineage: Bacteria
Description: partial 16S ribosomal RNA
Rfam family: Bacterial small subunit ribosomal RNA
Source: RNAcentral